RNAcentral lists this ribosomal RNA (468 nucleotides) under uncultured bacterium. Its description in RNAcentral is "partial 16S ribosomal RNA". It matches the Rfam family "Bacterial small subunit ribosomal RNA", at positions 28 to 507 of the family's 1533-position model. The record is from RNAcentral.
GACGAACGCUGGCGGCGUGCUUAACACAUGCAAGUCGAACGGAAAGGCCCUGCUAGUGUGGGCUUCUCGAGUGGGGAACGGGUGCGUAACACGUGAGUAUCCUGCUCUUGAUUUUCGGAUAAGUUCAGGAAACUGGGGUUAAGCUCGGACAGGAGACCCUGCUCCAUGGUGGGGGUUGGAAAGUUGCGGCAGUUGGGGAUGGACUCGCGGCUUAUGAGUUUGCUAGUGGGGUAGGGGCAUACCAAGGCAUUGGAGGAUACCCGGCCUGGGAGGGUGACCGGCCACAUUAGGACUGAGGUACGGAGCAGACUCCUACAGGGGGCAGAAGGGGGGAGUAUUACACAGUGGGCGGGAGCCUGAUACGGAGGCGCCGCGUGCGGGAUGACGGCCUUCGGGGUGAGAAACGCUGUCGGCUAAGACGAAGCGUGAGUGACGGUAAUGAAUGAAGAAGCACCGGCUAACUACGUG